RNAcentral lists this long non-coding RNA (482 nucleotides) under Pogona vitticeps (central bearded dragon). RNAcentral describes it as "lncRNA (ENSPVIG00000012008.1)". The record is from RNAcentral. Lineage: Eukaryota; Metazoa; Chordata; Lepidosauria; Squamata; Agamidae.
CGGGGACUCCCAAGAAGUAUAGAAGCAACUGUAAUUUCUUGUUUUUGCAAUAAACGUUUCUUUAUUAGGGUCAAAUAGAUAUAUCACAAUAUUGAUUCAUCCACUGAGCAGCCAUACAUUGGUUACAACAAUCAUUUAAGUGACUAUGCUGUUUUAUGCUAAAAGAUGCUUUGCACAUUUACAGCUCAUACAAUGAUAUUAUAGACAAAUACACUUUUAUUUAGAAAUGCAGAUGUUCAGAUUUUUUUAUGGUGUGUUCUUCUGUAGGCUGCAAAUUGAGUAAGAAAGGUAAAAUUCUCAUAUUCCAAACAGGGAAAAUUAAUAAAAUAGGACAAAUUAACAGGUAUAGAUAGGCAAUGCUGGAAACCUAGGAGCUGCAGUGCAUGCAUUAUAUAGCGUAAUCUUCAGAAAUUAUAUGGAAACAGAUUUUGUUUUCACCCAAAUGCAGAAUAAAAUCUAAUCUUAAUUUAUUCUCUUAUGCA